This is a regulatory RNA element of Enterococcus faecalis V583, 132 nucleotides long. It matches the Rfam family "Ribosomal protein L20 leader". From Rfam's summary of the family: This family is a putative r-protein leader autoregulatory structure found in B. subtilis and other low-GC Gram-positive bacteria. It is located in the 5' untranslated regions of mRNAs encoding initiation factor 3 followed by ribosomal proteins L35 and L20 (infC-rpmI-rplT). NCBI's taxonomy places the organism in Bacteria, Bacillati, Bacillota, Bacilli, Lactobacillales, Enterococcaceae. The record is from Rfam.
AAAUGAAAGCAGAAGCACCCGCUUCUCGCCUUAGUUGAGUAUAUCGCUGGGCUAGAUAAAGUAUUCCUUAUUUUUUUAAGUAAGGCAGACUGUUGGCGGGUUCUGGAUAGGAACCUGUUUUUUUAUUGCAUU